GCCCCUAUGCGAGGCGGGAUUUUCAUCGCGCUAACCAGCGGCUCCUUACCCUGGGCCGACUGCGUCUGCACGAAUGUCUUGAUGAGCAGGAAACACUCCCUGGACUCUCCCAUCCUUUCCAAUACCCUGUCCUGACCCCACAGAGCUGGGGAUGUCCUCAGGGGUCUGCCGCCAGCCAGCCUGGACCUGACAAAGAAGGGUGAUCAGGGAGUGUUUAUAAAUGGAAUGGAUUAAGGUUGCAUCCCAGGGACAGACGUUUGGAGCCCCCAGAAGGUGCUGAAGAGGAGAUGGUGACCUUGUCCCCAGAAAUCUCAGUGCUGUGGGGGCACUACCCAUCCUCCCACCUCCACUGUGGCCCCAGACAAGGAAAUGGAGGCUGGGAGGUGGACUUCCCAAGGUCACAGAGAAAACGGCUGGGCUGAGAUUUGAUGCCAAGUCUGCCUGACACCAAGGAGUCACAACAUUGUC
Odocoileus virginianus texanus is the source of this 468-nucleotide long non-coding RNA. RefSeq lists it as uncharacterized. NCBI's taxonomy places the organism in Eukaryota, Metazoa, Chordata, Mammalia, Artiodactyla, Cervidae. The record is from RefSeq and is a predicted model, not a curated record.